AACGGUCUAUACCUGCGGUACCUGCGGAAGGAUCAUUAACGAUUUCGGUGUAAAAAACCGUUUUCUACCUAUGUCUACGCGUACCACUUGUUUCCUCGGGGGGCUUGCCCCCCGCUAGGACCCUUUAUCAAACCUUUUUGUAAUAGCAGUCAGCGUCUGAUACUACGUUAAUUAUUAAAACUUUUAACAAUGGAUCUCU
This 199-nucleotide unclassified non-coding RNA is filed under the name soil metagenome. RNAcentral's name for it is "partial contains 5.8S ribosomal RNA, internal transcribed spacer 2, and large subunit ribosomal RNA". The record is from RNAcentral.